CCUACGGGAGGCAGCAGUGGGGGAUAUUGCACAAUGGGGGAAACCCUGAUGCAGCGACGCCGCGUGUGGGAAGACGGUCCUCUGGAUUGUAAACCACUGUCCCCAGGGACGAAGCUGACGGUACCUGGGGAGGAAGCUCCGGCUAACUACGUGCCAGCAGCCGCGGUAAUACGUAGGGAGCGAGCGUUGUCCGGAAUUACUGGGUGGAAAGGGAGCGUAGGCGGGACUGCAAGUUGGGUGUCAAAUCUACCGGCUCAACCGGUAGCCGACCUCAAAACUGCAGUUCUUGAGUGAAGUAGAGGCAGGCGGAAUUCCUAGUGUAGCGGUGAAAUGCGUAGAUAUUAGGAGGAACACCAGUGGCGAAGGCGGCCUGCUGGGCUUUUACUGACGCUGAGGCUCGAAAGUGUGGGGAGCAAACAGGAUUAGAUACCCUGGUAGUC
RNAcentral lists this ribosomal RNA (440 nucleotides) under uncultured bacterium. RNAcentral describes it as "partial 16S ribosomal RNA". It matches the Rfam family "Bacterial small subunit ribosomal RNA", at positions 338 to 795 of the family's 1533-position model. The record is from RNAcentral.